This 253-nucleotide ribosomal RNA is filed under the name uncultured bacterium. RNAcentral describes it as "partial 16S ribosomal RNA". It matches the Rfam family "Bacterial small subunit ribosomal RNA", at positions 524 to 776 of the family's 1533-position model. The record is from RNAcentral.
UACGUAGGGGGCAAGCGUUGUCCGGAAUCAUUGGGCGUAAAGCGCGCGUAGGCGGCUCGAUAAGUCUGCUGUGAAAGUUCAGGGCUCAACCCUGAAAUGCCGGUGGAAACUGUCGAGCUAGAGUCCGGAAGAGGUGAGUGGAAUUCCUGGUGUAGCGGUGAAAUGCGCAGAUAUCAGGAGGAACACCAAUGGCGAAGGCAGCUCACUGGGACGGUACUGACGCUGAGACGCGAAAGCGUGGGGAGCAAACAGG